This 497-nucleotide ribosomal RNA is filed under the name uncultured bacterium. RNAcentral describes it as "partial 16S ribosomal RNA". It matches the Rfam family "Bacterial small subunit ribosomal RNA", at positions 28 to 507 of the family's 1533-position model. The record is from RNAcentral.
GAUGAACGCUGGCGGCGUGCCUAAUACAUGCAAGUCGAGCGAACAGACGAGGAGCUUGCCCCUCUUACGUUAGCGGCGGACGGGUGAGUAACACGUGGAUAACCUACCUAUAAGACUGGGAUAACUUCGGGAAACCGGAGCUAAUACCGGAUAACAUGUUGAACCGCAUGGUUCAACAGUGAAAGACGGUCUUGCUGUCACUUAUAGAUGGAUCCGCGCCGCAUUAGCUAGUUGGUAAGGUAACGGCUUACCAAGGCAACGAUGCGUAGCCGACCUGAGAGGGUGAUCGGCCACACUGGAACUGAGACACGGUCCAGACUCCUACGGGAGGCAGCAGUAGGGAAUAUUCCGCAAUGGGCGAAAGCCUGACGGAGCAACGCCGCGUGUGUGAAGAAGGUCUUCGGAUCGUAAAACUCUGUUAGUAGGGAAGAACAAAUGUGUAAGUAACUAUGCACGUCUUGACGGUACCUAAUCAGAAAGCCACGGCUAACUACGUG